RNAcentral lists this ribosomal RNA (492 nucleotides) under uncultured bacterium. Its description in RNAcentral is "partial 16S ribosomal RNA". It matches the Rfam family "Bacterial small subunit ribosomal RNA", at positions 29 to 507 of the family's 1533-position model. The record is from RNAcentral.
AGUGAACGCUGGCGGUAGGCCUAACACAUGCAAGUCGAACGGCAGCACAGUAAGCGCUUGUUCUUACGGGUGGCGAGUGGCGGACGGGUGAGGAAUACAUCGGCAUCUACUUUUUCGUGGGGGAUUACGUAAGGAAACUUCCGCUACUACCGCAUAUGUUCUACGGGUGGAUGCAGGGGAUCUUCGGAGUUUUCGCGAUUGUUAGAGCCGAUGUCGGAUUAGCUAGUUGGGGGGGUAAGGGCCCACCAAGGCGACGAUGCGUAGCUGGUCUGAGAGGAUGAUCAGCCACACUGGAACUGAGACACGGUCCAGACUCCUACGGGAGGCAGCAGUGGGGAAUAUUGGACAAUGGGCGCAAGCCUGAUCCAGCCAUGCCGCGUGAGUGAAGAAGGCCUUCGGGUUGUAAAGCCCUGUUGUUAGGAAAGAAAAGCAGCAGAUUAAUACCCCGCUAUUCUGACGGUACCCAAAGAAUAAGCACCGGCUAACUUCGUG